Molecule: non-coding RNA, 28 nt
Filed under: Mus musculus (house mouse)
Lineage: Eukaryota; Metazoa; Chordata; Mammalia; Rodentia; Muridae
Source: RNAcentral
UACUGAUUCUGCAAAUCUACCUGGUUUC